This 500-nucleotide ribosomal RNA is filed under the name uncultured Glomeromycotina. RNAcentral's name for it is "partial small subunit ribosomal RNA". It matches the Rfam family "Eukaryotic small subunit ribosomal RNA", at positions 591 to 1092 of the family's 1831-position model. Lineage: Eukaryota; Fungi; Glomeromycota. The record is from RNAcentral.
CCAAUAGCGUAUAUUAAAGUUGUUGCAGUUAAAAAGCUCGUAGUUGAAUUUCGGGGUCAGUAGGUUGGUCGUGCCAACGGUAUGCACUGGCCUCACUGAUUCCUCCCUCUUGUAGAACCGUAAUGCCAUUAAUUUGGUGUUGCGGGGAAACAGGACUGUUACUUUGAAAAAAUUAGAGUGUUUAAAGCAGGCUAACGCUUGAAUACAUUAGCAUGGAAUAAUGAAAUAGGACGUUCGAUCCUAUUUUGUUGGUUUCUAGGGUUGACGUAAUGAUUAAUAGGGAUAGUUGGGGGCAUUAGUAUUCAAUUGUCAGAGGUGAAAUUCUUGGAUUUAUUGAAGACUAACUACUGCGAAAGCAUUUGCCAAGGAUGUUUUCAUUAAUCAAGAACGAAAGUUAGGGGAUCGAAGACGAUCAGAUACCGUCGUAGUCUUAACCAUAAACUAUGCCGACUAGGGAUCGGAUGAUGUUAAUUUUUUAAUGACUCAUUCGGCGCCUUACG